AUGAACGCUAGCGGCAGGCUUAAUACAUGCAAGUUGAGGGGCAGCAUGAUAUACGCGAGUAUAUUGAUGGCGACCGGCGGACGGGUGAGUAAUAGGUAGGAGACCUACCUCAUACAGGGGGAUAGCAUAGAGAAAUCUGUGGUAAUACCCCAUGAGGUUAUAUGAAUAGAGGCAUAUAAUCAAAGCAUAAGCGAUUAUGCGGUAUGAGAGGGGCCUACUGACCAUUAGCUAGUUGGUGAGGUAAGGGCUCACCAAGGCGAAGAUGGUUAGGGGUUUUGAGAGAGAGACCCCCCACAUUGGAACUGAGAGACGGUCCAGACUCCUACGGGAGGCAGCAGUAGGGAAUAUUGGGCAAUGGGCGAAAGCCUGACCCAGCCAUGCCGCGUGAAGGAAGACGGCCUUAUGGGUUGUAAACUUCUUUACUACGCGAAUAGAGGUUAGUACGAGAUACUAAUAGGAAGGUAGUGUAGUAAAAGCACCGGCUAACCUCCGUG
This 494-nucleotide ribosomal RNA is filed under the name uncultured bacterium. Its description in RNAcentral is "bacterial SSU rRNA". It matches the Rfam family "Bacterial small subunit ribosomal RNA", at positions 30 to 507 of the family's 1533-position model. The record is from RNAcentral.